RNAcentral lists this ribosomal RNA (253 nucleotides) under uncultured bacterium. RNAcentral's name for it is "partial 16S ribosomal RNA". It matches the Rfam family "Bacterial small subunit ribosomal RNA", at positions 524 to 776 of the family's 1533-position model. The record is from RNAcentral.
UACAGAGGGUGCAAGCGUUGUUCGGAAUUACUGGGCGUAAAGCGCGUGUAGGCGGCCUUGCAAGUCGGGUGUGAAAGCCCUCAGCUCAACUGAGGAAGUGCGCCCGAAACUGCAGAGCUUGAGUACCGGAGAGGAUGGCGGAAUUCCCCAAGUAGAGGUGAAAUUCGUAGAUAUGGGGAGGAACACCGGUGGCGAAGGCGGGUUGCUGGGCUGAUACUGACGCUGAUGCGCGAAGGCCAGGGGAGCAAACGGG